Molecule: ribosomal RNA, 346 nt
Filed under: uncultured bacterium
Lineage: Bacteria
Description: partial 16S ribosomal RNA
Rfam family: Bacterial small subunit ribosomal RNA
Source: RNAcentral
CCUACGGGAGACAGCAGUGGGGAAUAUUGCACAAUGGGGGAAACCCUGAUGCAGCGACGCCGCGUGAGUGAAGAAGUACUUCGGUAUGUAAAGCUCUAUCAGCAGGGAAGAAAGAGCGACCUUGGGGGCGCCAGACGGUAGCUGAUGAAGAAGCACCGGCUAACGACGUGCCAGCAGCCGCGGGAAGACGUAGGGGGCAAGAGUGAUCCGGAUUUACUGGGUGGAAAGGGAGCGUAGACGGCAGCGCAAGUCGGAAGUGAAAUGCCGGGGCUUAACCCCGGAACUGCUUUGGAAACUGUGCAGCUAGAGUGCAGUAGAGGUAAGUGGCAUUCCUCGUGUAGCGGUG